RNAcentral lists this long non-coding RNA (1121 nucleotides) under Ficedula albicollis (Collared flycatcher). RNAcentral's name for it is "lncRNA (ENSFALG00000026245.1)". Lineage: Eukaryota; Metazoa; Chordata; Aves; Passeriformes; Muscicapidae. The record is from RNAcentral.
CAAGACAUAAGUUAUAACAACCAGCAAACUUUGCCAACAAACAGCCAACUCCAGGUUUUGUUGUUUUCCUUCCCUACUAAUCUUUUCACAGGCUCUGCUGGACCCCACUAUUCCACUUUUAUCACCAAGCACAAACAUCUUUCCUAGAACAGUCUCACAGGGAGAUUGUGUGGAUUAUGCUCCAAAGCACACAGAGAACAGAUGGGAAAAUCAUUCAACCUGCCUGUAUCUCAAGUUUCCGAUCUAUACAACUAGGAGGAUAAUAUACACCUCAGCUCAUUGAAAAGCAUGGGGGGAAGAAGCGUUCAAAUUGUGGACAUGAGGAACAGGCAUCCAUGCUGAACAAGCAGGUGUUGAAGUAGCUGUGAUUCCACUGGAAGCUCGAGCAGGGAGAGAGGAGAGUGAUGAAGACCCUUAGCCCCCAGGGAAGAUCUCUGUUCCCAGACAUGAAGAUGAUCUCAGAGAUAGAUGAAGAAAACUUCUGCUUCUAAAAAGUUCAUUCUCAAAAGCAUACCACAUCAGCCAAAGAUUGAGCCCUCGAAAACAGUUGUGGGGAAAGCUGUAAGUCAAGGGGAGGGUCUUUUACAGUGAUCAGAUUUCUGAUCUCUGGGUGGCUGAUUCACUGUGACAUUGAAGCCACAAGAGAACAGUUUCUUGUGGAGAAGUCUCCAUAGCAUGACAAGAGAGACUCCUCUCCCCAAGCAAAUUAAAGAAAGACUAUUUUAGCUGUGAUAAACUGACUGAAUUGUUUCUGUACAUUGUCAGAGGGAAAGAAAAGAGAGUGUGUGGGGGGGAGAAGCACUCUGAAAGUUUUAUUCUGAUUGUUAUUAUUCUUUUUGUUCUGUUAAUAAAAUUUUUCUUUAUACCCUUUAAAGUGUAAGCCUGCAUUGCCUUGCUCCUAAUCCUAUCUCACAGCAGGAAAUGAGUAAAUAGUUCUGGUGAGUGCACUAGCUAUUUAGCCAGCACUAAACCCAUCACAUAAAUUAGUGCAUUAGCCAAAAAAAUCUCAAAUUAGCAAACCAAUAUCUCUACAAAGGGAAAGUAAAAUUUCUGGAAAACAGUAAGAGAAAUCUUUGCUUUUUAUGAAGCCCCUCUAGUGAAAACAAAAUUACCAGAUUCAC